UGGGGAAUUUUGGACAAUGGGGGGCAACCCUGAUCCAGCAAUGCCGCGUGUGUGAAGAAGGCCUUCGGGUUGUAAAGCACUUUUGUCCGGGAAGAAAUCCCCUGCCCUAAUACGGCGGGGGGAUGACGGUACCGGAAGAAUAAGCACCGGCUAACUACGUGCCAGCAGCCGCGGUAAUACGUAGGGCGCGAGCGUUAAUCGGAAUUACUGGGCGUAAAGCGUGCGUAGGCGGUUUCUUAAGUCUGCUGUGAAAUCCCCGGGCUCAACCUGGGAAUGGCAGUGGAUACUGGGAGGCUAGAGUGUGUCAGAGGGUGGUGGAAUUCCCGGUGUAGCGGUGAAAUGCGUAGAGAUCGGGAGGAACAUCAGUGGCGAAGGCGGCCACCUGGGACAACACUGACGCUGAGGCACGAAAGCGUGGGGAGCAAACAGGAUUAGAUACCCUGGUAGUCCACGCCCUAAAACGAUGUCAACUAGUUGUUGGGGAAUUCAUUUCCUUAGUAACGUAGCUAACGCGUGAAGUUGACCGCCUGGGGAGUACGGUCGCAAGAUUAAAACUUAAAUGAAUUGACGGGGUCAUAGCUGUUUCCU
Molecule: ribosomal RNA, 588 nt
Filed under: uncultured bacterium
Lineage: Bacteria
Description: partial 16S ribosomal RNA
Rfam family: Bacterial small subunit ribosomal RNA
Source: RNAcentral